RNAcentral lists this unclassified non-coding RNA (549 nucleotides) under Hevea brasiliensis (rubber tree). The record is from RNAcentral. Lineage: Eukaryota; Viridiplantae; Streptophyta; Magnoliopsida; Malpighiales; Euphorbiaceae.
GCUUUAGAUGAGCUUACCUCCAAAGUAAGUACUCUCAUAAUUAAUAUUCUCAGUUAUUAAUCUUUCUUUAUCUUGCUGCAACACUCUCUCAUGCCUUGUCUUACCUAUCUUUUGAGAAUGAAAGAAUAAAAAAACUGUUGACGCAUUGGUUGAGGAAUUGGGUAAAAUUCCUACAAUUUUUCCAAUUAAAUUGCCAAGAAACUUGUUUUGGGAUAUGAGUUCCUGUGGUGAUUAUUGUGAAAUUAUGUUUUAAGGGUUCAAAUACUACACCUUAAGUUUCCUAAGGGUUUUUAGUCACUUUGUUUGUGCUUAUUUUUCGUGUUGAUGAAAACUGAAUCUGUUUGGACUGGGAAGAACACCUUCAAAAAUUGCAUCUUUUGUUUUCCUUCUUGAUUUUGACCUGUGUGCUUUGGCAGAGGCCUUGCGAGAAGUAUUGAAAGAGUGAUCUUCCUGAAACUUUCAAUGUUAUAUUUAACUAUUGAUUGUAUCAUGCUUUUUUUUUAUAUAUAUUUUCUUAAUGAUUGAUUUUCCUUCUCUCUCUCUCUCUCU